This is a long non-coding RNA of Lycium ferocissimum, 521 nucleotides long. RefSeq lists it as uncharacterized. The transcript is spliced from 2 exons. NCBI's taxonomy places the organism in Eukaryota, Viridiplantae, Streptophyta, Magnoliopsida, Solanales, Solanaceae. The record is from RefSeq and is a predicted model, not a curated record.
CUGAUUUCGGGUAGAAUCCAUGGGCAGAGAAUAUUAAUGAUCUUUGUCACAACUCAGAUUUCAAAUUUUGAGUUGAAAUCCAGAUUUCGGGUCCGUCCCAAGUUCUCAAAACCUAGCUACUUGGGGUUCUACCCUCAAUUCUUAUUCUCAAAGAGGGUUCAAAACCUCCCAAAAAUCUAACUCUCUUUUAAUUUUUCUUCACUGGCUCAAAGUAAAAUGUUCAAAUCGUUGGUGAAAGCUGGAGAAUCGCAACUUGUCGUUGUUCAACAACAGUUGCCUUUGCAUUAUGUGUAUAUCGACUCAGCCCUCCUCUCAACCGAACAUAAACAAUAGAGUUCGGGUUCGAAGCCCAAAUGGUCUAGAAGUAUCCGCUAAACGAGAAGCAACAGCAGAAAUGGACUAUGAGCCCAAUUAGCUAAACUCUUCUUCACUCUAAUUUGUUUUUGCGUAUUUGUGGAUUGUAUUACUUGACUAACUCUUUACUUGUUUUCUUUUCUUAAUCUGGUUGAAUUCUCAGAGCA